CCUACGGGCGGCUGCAGUGGGGAAUAUUGGACAAUGGGGGCAACCCUGAUCCAGCCAUGCCGCGUGUGUGAAGAAGGCCCUCGGGUUGUAAAGCACUUUCAGUGAGGAAGAACGCCUGGUGGUUAAUACCCAUCAGGAAAGACAUCACUCACAGAAGAAGCACCGGCUAACUCCGUGCCAGCAGCCGCGGUAAUACGGAGGGUGCGAGCGUUAAUCGGAAUUACUGGGCGUAAAGCGCGCGUAGGUGGCUUGAUAAGCCGGUUGUGAAAGCCCCGGGCUCAACCUGGGAACGGCAUCCGGAGCUGUCAAGCUAGAGAGCAGGAGAGGAAGGUGGAAUUGCCGGUGUUGCGGUGAAAUGCGUAGAGAGCGGAAGGAUUACCAGUGGCGAAGGAGCCCUUCUGGACUGUCACUGCCACUGUGGUGCGAGAUCGUGGGUAGCACACAGGAUAAGAAACACGAGGAGUA
RNAcentral lists this ribosomal RNA (465 nucleotides) under Vreelandella stevensii. RNAcentral describes it as "partial 16S ribosomal RNA". It matches the Rfam family "Bacterial small subunit ribosomal RNA", at positions 338 to 795 of the family's 1533-position model. Lineage: Bacteria; Pseudomonadati; Pseudomonadota; Gammaproteobacteria; Oceanospirillales; Halomonadaceae. The record is from RNAcentral.